GAUGAACGCUGGCGGCGUGCCUAAUACAUGCAAGUCGAGCGAACAGACGAUGAGCUCGCUCCUCUGACGUUAGCGGCGGACGGGUGAGUAACACGUGGAUAACCUACCUAUAAGACUGGGAUAACUUCGGGAAACCGGAGCUAAUACCGGAUAAUAUAUUGAACCGCAUGGUUCAAUAGUUAAAGACGGUUUUGCUGUCACUUAUAGAUGGAUCCGCGCCGCAUUAGCUAGUUGGUAAGGUAACGGCUUACCAAGGCGACGAUGCGUAGCCGACCUGAGAGGGUGAUCGGCCACACUGGAACUGAGACACGGUCCAGACUCCUACGGGAGGCAGCAGUAGGGAAUCUUCCGCAAUGGGCGCAAGCCUGACGGAGCAACGCCGCGUGAGUGAUGAAGGUCUUCGGAUCGUAAAGCACUGUUAUUGGGGAAGAACAGAUGUAUGAGUAACUAUGCACGUCUUGACGGUACCUAAUCAGAAAGCCACGGCUAACUACGUG
Molecule: ribosomal RNA, 497 nt
Filed under: uncultured bacterium
Lineage: Bacteria
Description: partial 16S ribosomal RNA
Rfam family: Bacterial small subunit ribosomal RNA
Source: RNAcentral